RNAcentral lists this ribosomal RNA (210 nucleotides) under Capitella teleta. The record is from RNAcentral. Lineage: Eukaryota; Metazoa; Annelida; Polychaeta; Capitellidae.
GUCUACGGCCAUACCACGUUGAAAACACCGGCUUGCAAUCUGCAGGCAAACAGAAAGAAGGUGGACUCUGUCCCCACAGCAAAUUUUGUAUCCCGAGAGCUAUGAAUUUUCCCCCAAAAAUGUCCUCGUCUGAUCACCGAAGUUAAGCAACGUCGGGUCCGGUUAGUACUUGGAUGGGUGACCGCCUGAGAAUACCGGGUGCUGUAGACU